Molecule: ribosomal RNA, 497 nt
Filed under: uncultured bacterium
Lineage: Bacteria
Description: partial 16S ribosomal RNA
Rfam family: Bacterial small subunit ribosomal RNA
Source: RNAcentral
GAUGAACGCUGGCGGCGUGCCUAAUACAUGCAAGUCGAGCGAACAGACGAGGAGCUUGCUCCUCUGACGUUAGCGGCGGACGGGUGAGUAACACGUGGAUAACCUACCUAUAAGACUGGGAUAACUUCGGGAAACCGGAGCUAAUACCGGAUAAUAUAUUUAACCGCAUGGUUCAAUAGUGAAAGACGGUUUUGCUGUCACUUAUAGAUUGAUCCGCGCCGCAUUAGCUAGUUGGUGAGGUAACGGCUUACCAAGGCAACGAUGCGUAGCCGACCUGAGAGGGUGAUCGGCCACACUGGAACUGAGACACGGUCCAGACUCCUACGGGAGGCAGCAGUAGGGAAUCUUCCGCAAUGGGCGAAAGCCUGACGGAGCAACGCCGCGUGAGUGAUGAAGGUCUUCGGAUCGUAAAACUCUGUUAUUAGGGAAGAACAAAUGUGUAAGUAACUAUGCACGUCUUGACGGUACCUAAUCAGAAAGCCACGGCUAACUACGUG